Molecule: non-coding RNA, 150 nt
Organism: Caenorhabditis elegans
Lineage: Eukaryota; Metazoa; Nematoda; Chromadorea; Rhabditida; Rhabditidae
Source: Ensembl
CAAAUAAAACAAAAAUAAUCUGCCCCAUGCCAGGCUCGAACUGGCGACCUUGGCAUAACCUAUAGACUAUAAGUACCACGCGCUAACCGACUGCGCCAAUGGGGCACGGCCCUAACGCAUGAGAAUUAGCCUUGACAAGUAUACUGCUCU